RNAcentral lists this unclassified non-coding RNA (330 nucleotides) under soil metagenome. RNAcentral's name for it is "partial contains 5.8S ribosomal RNA, internal transcribed spacer 2, and large subunit ribosomal RNA". The stretch from base 1 to 120 matches the Rfam family "5.8S ribosomal RNA", at positions 35 to 154 of the family's 154-position model. The record is from RNAcentral.
GAUGAAGAACGUAGCGAAAUGCGAUAAGUAAUGUGAAUUGCAGAAUUCAGUGAAUCAUCGAAUCUUUGAACGCACAUUGCGCCCCCUGGUAUUCCGGGGGGCAUGCCUGUUCGAGCGUCAUUUCACCACUCAAGCCUCGCUUGGUAUUGGGCAACGCGGUCCGCCGCGUGCCUCAAAUCGUCCGGCUGGGUCUUCUGUCCCCUAAGCGUUGUGGAAACUAUUCGCUAAAGGGUGUUCGGGAGGCUACGCCGUAAAACAACCCCAUUUCUAAGGUUGACCUCGGAUCAGCUAGGGAUACCCGCUGAACUUAAGCAUAUCAAUAAGCGGGGA